RNAcentral lists this long non-coding RNA (225 nucleotides) under Mytilus galloprovincialis (Mediterranean mussel). Lineage: Eukaryota; Metazoa; Mollusca; Bivalvia; Mytilida; Mytilidae. The record is from RNAcentral.
AAAAAAAAAGUAAAUAAAUAAAUGGGGUUUGCCACAUCUCUGGAGUAGCAACUCUCAAAUACUUUUUUAUUUAACAAAUAAUACCUGUAUGACUAUUUCAAUAGUUUGUUUUACAAUGUUAUGUAAAAUACUGUAUGUUGUAUCAAUCAUAUAUGUUAUGUGUAUAUGCCCCCCUGGGGACCUAAUUUGGAAAAUAAAAUUUAUCUUAUCUUAUCUUAUCUUAUA